Long non-coding RNA from Octodon degus (degu), 339 nucleotides. RefSeq lists it as uncharacterized. The transcript is spliced from 2 exons. Lineage: Eukaryota; Metazoa; Chordata; Mammalia; Rodentia; Octodontidae. The record is from RefSeq and is a predicted model, not a curated record.
CAGAUGCAGACACGCAGUGCUGAUGAGCCCAUGACUACGUUUGUCUUGUGCAACGAGUGCGGGCACCGCUGGAAGUUUUGCUGACAAGUCCAGCCUCCAAGCCAGCAGUGAAGGAGGGGAGGAAGAACGAAGAGGAAGCGCUACACCACCUCAGCUGGAGAACAGAUGAAAAUGACAAUGAAGAGCAUCCUGCACUCGGAAUGAGGCAGUAGGAAUCGGAAGGAGAGUUCUUUUGCCAUUUAGUAAUCAACCAUUCAGUAAUGACGGGCUAACAGAGAAGCCCAAUUGGAAUACCAUGCUAAAAUCUGUUGAUAAACUUCUUUUAGAAAAAGCGUCAGA